GUAGACCUUCACUGUAAAUAAGAAUUUGUUCUUAACCGUCUUGCCUAGUUAAAUAAUUACCAAUUCCCCCCCCCCCCCUGACAGCAUCAAUAAUCACCAAAUCAACACAUCUUAAUAGCUUCACAAAUGUAUUCCUUUCAGAAAAUAACUUACAUUCAUUCAUGUGACAGCACAUUUCCAGUGUUCCUUUUCUUGUCAUUUGUCUUAAGUUGCAUUUACACAGGUUGCCCAAUUCUGAUCUUUUGGCCCCAAUAUUGGCAAAAGAUCUGAUCUGAUUGGGCAAGAGAUCAGAAUUGGGCAACCUGUGUGAACGUAGCCUUACACACAGUAAAGAGGUUAGACAUUGCAUUAGCAGAAAGAUUUCUGGCGGAUAUAUUUACAGGUACAGUACAUUCAGAUCAGAGUGAUAAAAAGCUCCAUCCUAUCAGAUCAGAGUGAUAAAAAGGUCCAUCCUAUCAGAUCAGAGUGAUAAAAAGGUCCAUCCUAUCAGAUCAGUGAUAAAAAGGUCCAUCCUAUCCUAUCAGAUCAGUGAUAAAAGGUCCAUCCUAUCAAAUCAGUGAUAAAAAGUCCAUCCUAUCAGAUCAGUGAUAAAAAGGUCCAUCCUAUCAGAUCAGAGUGAUAAAAAGGUCCAUCCUAUCAGAUCAGAGUGAUAAAAGGUCCAUCCUAUCAGAUCAGUGAUAAAAAGCUCCAUCCUAUAAAGCUUUCCAGACUAUAGAUGCUGUUGUUUAAAUAUCAGCAGAAGAAACUUAAUCAAGAACAAAAAAACACAAAAAAAAAAGGAUUCUCAGAUCAAAAGACAAACCAGUUUGCAUAAUUCUUAAGAUCACAAAACAAAAGCUUUGAACAACCAAAUCACUUGCUUGUUUUGGAGUUAUUGGCAGAACAUAAAAUAGAUGAAUACAGAAGCUACUCUAUAGCCAUGUUCUCUGGUCUUUACCAGGGAUUAAACUCCUGUUCACUAACACUAACUAACGAGGGUCAGGGGAUACCACUAAGGCUUCUCCUGUUCACUAACGAGGGUCAAGGGAUUCCACUAAGGCUUCUCCUGUUCACUAACGAGGGUCAAGGGAUUCCACUAAGGCUUCUCCUGUUCACUAACACUAACUAACGAGGGUCAAGGGAUACCACUAAGGCUUCUCCUGUUCACUAACGAGGGUCAAGGGAUUCCACUAAGGCUUCUCCUGUUCACUAACACUAACUAACGAGGGUCAAGGGAUACCACUAAGGCUUCUCCUGUUCACUAACGAGGGUCAAGAGAUACCACUAAGGCUUCUCCUGUUCACUAACGAGGGUCAAGGGAUUCCACUAAGGCUUCUCCUGUUCACUAACGAGGGUCAAGGGAUUCCACUAAGGCUUCUCCUGUUCACUAACGAGGGUCAAGGGAUUCCACUAAGGCUUCUCCUGUUCACUAACGAGGGUCAGGGGAUACCACUAAGGCUUCUCCUGUUCACUAACGAGGGUCAAGGGAUUCCACUAAGGCUUCUCCUGUUCACUAACGAGGGUCAAGGGAUACCACUAAGGCUUCUCCUGUUCACUAACACUAACUAACGAGGGUCAAGGGAUACCACUAAGGCUUCUCCUGUUCACUAACGAGGGUCAAGGGAUUCCACUAAGGCUUCUCCUGUUCACUAACGAGGGUCAAGGGAUUCCACUAAGGCUUCUCCUGUUCACUAACACUAACUAACGAGGGUCAAGGGAUACCACUAAGGCUUCUCCUGUUCACUAACGAGGGUCAAGGGAUUCCACUAAGGCUUCUCCUGUUCACUAACACUAACUAACGAGGGUCAAGGGAUACCACUAAGGCUUCUCCUGUUCACUAACGAGGGUCAAGAGAUACCACUAAGGCUUCUCCUGUUCACUAACGAGGGUCAAGGGAUUCCACUAAGGCUUCUCCUGUUCACUAACGAGGGUCAAGGGAUUCCACUAAGGCUUCUCCUGUUCACUAACGAGGGUCAAGGGAUUCCACUAAGGCUUCUCCUGUUCACUAACGAGGGUCAGGGGAUACCACUAAGGCUUCUCCUGUUCACUAACGAGGGUCAAGGGAUUCCACUAAGGCUUCUCCUGUUCACUAACGAGGGUCAAGGGAUACCACUAAGGCUUCUCCUGUUCACUAACGAGGGUCAAGGGAUUCCACUAAGGCUUCUCCUGUUCACUAACGCUAACUAACGAGGGUCAGGGGAUUCCACUAAGGCUUCUCCUGUUCACUAACGCUAACUAACGAGGGUCAGGGGAUUCCACUAAGGCUUCUCCUGUUCACUAACGCUAACUAACGAGGGUCAGGGGAUUCCACUAAGGCUUCUCCUGUUCACUAACGAGGGUCAAGGGAUUCCACUAAGGCUUCUCCUGUUCACUAACGAGGGUCAAGGGAUACCACUAAGGCUUCUCCUGUUCACUAACGAGGGUCAAGGGAUACCACUAAGGCUUCUCCUGUUCACUAACGAGGGUCAAGGGAUACCACUAAGGCUUCUCCUGUUCACUAACGAGGGUCAAGGGAUACCACUAAGGCUUCUCCUGUUCACUAACGAGGGUCAAGGGAUACCACUAAGGCUUCUCCUGUUCAUUAACACUAACUAACGAGGGUCAAGGGAUACCACUAAGGCUUCUCCUGUUCACUAACGAGGGUCAAGGGAUACCAUUAAGGCUUCUCCUGUUCAUUAACACUAACUAACGAGGGUCAAGGGAUACCACUAAGGCUUCUCCUGUUCAUUAAUGAGGGUCAGGGGAUACCACUAAGGCUUCUCCUGUUCACUAUCGAGGGUCAAGGGAUUCCACUAAGGCUUCUCCUGUUCACUAACGAGGGUCAAGAGAUACCACUAAGGCUUCUCCUGUUCAUUAACACUAACGAGGGUCAGGGGAUACCACUAAGGCUUCUCCUGUUCACUAACAAUAACGAGGGUCAGGGGAUACCACUAAGGCUUCUCCUGUUCACGAACACUAACGAGGGUCAGGGGAUACCACUAAGCCUUCUCCUGUUCAUUAACGAGGGUCAAGGAAUACCACUAAUCCUUCUCCUGUUCAUUAACACUAACGAGGGUCAGGGGAUACCACUAAGGCUUCUCCUGUUCACUAACACUGAGGGUCAGGGGAUACCACUAAGCCUUCUCCUGUUCACUAACACUAACGAGGGUCAGGGGAUACCACUAAGCCUUCUCCUGUUCACUAACACUGAGGGUCAGGGGAUACCACUAAGCCUUCUCCUGUUCACUAACACUAACGAGGGUCAGGGGAUACCACUAAGGCUUCUCCUGUUCACUAUCGAGGGUCAAGAGAUACCUCUGAGGAUUUUGCUUUAACGCUAAAUCACUCAAUAGAGCCUUAUCAUGGGCGUAAAGCAGAUGCAUGAGGCAAAUGUCCUUGUGCUGUGGCAAGUAAUAUUCCUUGUACAAACAGAGCUCUUUCAUAAUACAGAUUUGAUGGCUCCAAUUCACGAGAUGCGUACACUAUGUAAAUACUAGAGGAAGACGAGCUUCACAUUGAGCCAGGCUAACAUACUGAAAACUGACUUGAACGGCAGGCAUGUAUUCACAAUGCUUCAAUACCAGACUUGUGAGGUUGUCUUCGGGAGUGUCUAAUACAUUGAUGCAAAAAAAAGAAAACAAACAACAACUUUAUUUUAACUUCACUCAAUUUAACUUGGCAGGAAAUUUGAGGUUUGUAAGUACAGAGAAACGUCUUUACGUAAUGUUACCUCACAGCACAAGGACGUCAGUUACUGACGCAUCUUUACAGGACGUCAGUUACUGACGCAUCUUUACAGGACGUCAGUUACUGACGCAUCUUUACAGGACGUCAGUUACUGACGCAUCUUUACAGGGCGUCGUUUUCGGACGCUUGAGGUGUUUCAACAUAUCAGUAGUUAUUACACUUCAAUAAAUAUAAUGUAAAUUGGGACCUGCUAUUGGGGGUAAAUAUAAUAUACAAAUCUCAUAAAUAUUGAAAUGGUAAUCCCAAAUUUAACCAUUGAUCCAGACUAGUACCAAGGCCUAUUGUCACUUUCACAAGAGCAUGCAUGCAAAUAUGAACAGGGGAUGCUUGCAAUAACUGAGCCAAAAGCAACAAACAAUACAGAAAACCACAACAUGAACAUUUGAAAAAUCAUCCCCCCCCUCCCAAAAAGAUCUUUAUGAAAUCAAGUCAGAAUCCCAUGCAGUUGAAUGAUACCAUCUACUAACCCGACUAAACCCCAUGUUGCAGUGAGACUGACUUCACAUAGGCCUAACUGAAGCCUUCACAAAACAACACUGAAUCAUAAACACUUUACAUGAAGAAGAAAACAAAAAGAGACCGUAGGGCACAGAAUCAUAGUUCUACUAAAAACUAAAAAGGCAACAAAACAAGUUUGAGGUGAGAAGUGGGUGGCACAGAGUAGCCAGUAAGUAAACUGCUACCCAGUUUGACAACGGUGCCACCUGAUAGGCGGAGGUCAUUAACCAACAGGGAGAGGAGGAAGGCAAAAAAAAAAAAAAA
This is a non-coding RNA of Oncorhynchus mykiss (rainbow trout), 4467 nucleotides long. NCBI's taxonomy places the organism in Eukaryota, Metazoa, Chordata, Actinopteri, Salmoniformes, Salmonidae. The record is from RefSeq and is a predicted model, not a curated record.